RNAcentral lists this long non-coding RNA (9242 nucleotides) under Gallus gallus (chicken). The record is from RNAcentral. Lineage: Eukaryota; Metazoa; Chordata; Aves; Galliformes; Phasianidae.
CAACAAUAAAAAAUUACUGCUAAGUCUGCUCUCGCUCAGGAAAACAUCGCUGAUGGACCCAGAGAGGGGGAGAGAGCCCAUCUGCACCCCCACGGAACGGCUCGACCCGAGCUGUCAGUAAGCGCAGCGCCGCGGUGCCGUAUGCGAAGCACAUGGAUGCACUUUGUCCUGAACUGCUGCAGCUCUUCGUGCAGCCCCAGCCUGCUGACACAGCCACGCGAGCCAGCACACAAAUGGCAUCCGAAUACUAAAUAUUUUACUUGGCAGUUAAACAGUUAAGCUGACAGUGACUGGACAGAGCCCUUAAGCACGUUUGACUGAGGGCUCUGUCAGCUUACACCAAAACUUGGCAGGACAAGAAAUACUUUCGAGCAAGCAAGUGAAAAUGAGUUCUCCGUGGCACUCGGUUAAUGCGGCCAUUCACGAUGCUGACGAGCCACAACGCACCCGGGAUAAAGAACAAAGCAAACCUUCAUCAAAGCGAACCUAAACGCGCCGCAACAAAGCGGGGAUUCCACUCCUAAAAGCCCAAACCCCACAACUUUCCCCGCAGAGAAACGCCGUCCCGUAGGACGUCCCGCAGCGGAGCGCUCCUCAACCUCCGGCAGCGCUACCGCCGGCACGGCCCGGAUUCCUGAAAUAACUGCUGCCAGAUAAAAGCUCCGCAGCCCCGCGCUGGAGGAGCUGCACACAGGUCUCUUCAUCAGCCUAAGGGCAAAGCUGUGUUUGUGUAUGAAAGGUCACCCACAGAAGAAAAAUCCUGCUCCAAACAAAUAAGGUUUUACAAAGAGGCACACUGGUCAUUGCUGCUCUGCAGCAGGAAGAUGCACGAGCGUGCAUGGAUCCACAUCCAAAGCAGCAGCAGUCAUUCAGAGUGACAAAAUGAACACCACGACUGAGGGACUGCAGAAACACCGCCUGCAGACCAAGGAGCUGCUCCUCCAACCACUGCGGAGGCAGCCCCGGAUCACAGACGUGCUGCAACACAGCUCGGCUCUGCCCCAGCAAUUAAUGGAAGCCCUCAAUGAUGGUGGUAGCAGGAAUUUGGUUUUCCCCCAGCACUGCAGGCAUGCUUUAAAGUGCCAGGAAACUGGGGGGGAAAAAAAGCUUUUUUUGUACAUGAUUUACUUGAACUUCAUUUAAUUUCUUCUAAGAAACAGAAAAAUCACUGAUGCAGAGCCCAGCAAUUUCAUUUUGUUCUGUAAAAGUACAGAUUUGGAUCCAAAAAUCAACUUGAAGUUUUACCAAAGGCUCUUCUGGCUCCUGAAGAAAAGCUCAUCGAGUUGCUAACGGUGCUAAGCUGCAGAAUGAUCCUGAAUGUUUGAUACCCACCCUCUCGUUAGCACCAGCAUCGCUGUCAGCACAGCUUCUGCACGUUGGUCUUUAGAAAAAGCACAUCUCAUCUGAGGACUCCAUAGGGGGCGGCUCAGUGGUCUCAUAUCUAAAGGAGUGCGACCUCUGCAGGGCCCUUUGCAGCUGUUAGGACUGGAUGUGAGAUAGCAGCACAGCCAGGCAGGUCUGAAAGUUUUAAAGAAAUCACCUAUUUAAUACACCUUCAGAGCCCUGCACGCCUCAGCUCUCCUACCUGCACAGCAGCAGCACUGAUGUGAGCCUCUCUGCUAAGGGUAGGAUCUAAGAGCACGUUGGGAUCCUGCAAUUAAAGGCAGUAAGGAGGCAAAGCGAAAGCGAAGCACCCCUGCUGUUUUUGUGGUAAAGCAGUCCACGAUUGAUGCACAGCAGCUCACCAAUCUAAACAAUGAUUUCGUUAAUAGCUCUGCUGAGGUCAGGUAAGUUUUGAGUGUAAUUGCAUCCUGCUUCCACAAGCAGAACAAUCACCGCCAUUAAUCACCCGCCCAUCUGCACAGAUGCUCAGGUUGCUCUUUGCAGGCUCACACCUGAGAUCUCCGGGUUCUGUUCAGUAAAAACGUGCCACAAAGUGCCGCUGAGACUGCUUCAGAAUGGAAGGUUUUCUGUGCAAUGUUUGCUGACUGUAGGAAAUAGGGCCGUUACCUCCUCUGCAGACUGCAAAGUCUUUUAAUUAUGGAGGUACUGCUAUCCUGUAAAUGAAGAUAGAAUAAGUUUGGUCUGAAGAAAAACAACAACAAAAAAAGCUUUAGUGUCAUUUCAAAGCGUUCAGUUACUGAAAUGGAAUUUUCUGUGCCUGCCAAAAUGAGUCCUGUUCAGUGUGAUGCAACAGGUGAUGGAAUUCCAGCAGCCGCCUCAGCCCACAUCUGGGAACAGUUAGGAGUUUAAAGGAAGUUCUGUAAGCAGUUCUUAUGUAUAAAACCGAUUCAUCAGUGGCAUCUAUGGGCCAUAUUCACCACCGCCCGCACGGCGCAUAGCUCACAUUUUUGUUUGGCUUACAAGAAAAGGAGCUCUGCUGCUCGGGACGUUUGAGGAUCCCAGGCACCGGUCCAGGCUGAGAACGUGCAGUGCUUCGUGGGGCUCUAUGGGCCGUCAGGGAGGUGAGGCUGCGCUUUGCAGGAGGUGUGAAUGCACUUCAAAUCGGUUCUACCCUGAUAGAUGCGCCACGUGUGAGGUGAGAGCUAUCAGAAGUGCUCCUCAGACAAGAGGGAGAUCUCUGGCUUAAGGGAAACCUGAGCCAGUGGUCCCCUCCUCCCAAGGGAAAAACACAUUUGUGUCAGUCCUUACAAACUCAGCAUCAAGAGAAAGGUUCUGUUUAAUGCCAUUAUAUUUACUGGGGGAGGAAAUCACCAAAAACCCACAGCACCUUCUCUUUAAAAGCCAUUUUUCACUCUCCCUUUUUCUUCUGUGCCUCUGCCAGCCCCUUGGAGGCCAAGCAUAGAAGACUGCCAAAGCAAUUGCCCUGCUGGCUUUGCUUGACUACCACAAGCUCAUCAGCCACGAGGGUGUAAUGCUACAGUGAGAGGGGAAGCACAGCAGUAAUAGCAGGGUAGCAAAGUCUUUAGCUGCAGAAAACGAAGACAAGCCCAAAUGCAAUAGCUAUAGAAACAAAGGAAAGAGGCUGCUUACCUCUGGAAGGCCUCAGGCAUGCAGAGAUCUCCAGCAGCUCCCCUUACCUCCACUGCCAACCCUUACAUGAGGGCUGGGAAGGAGGGGAUCCUGGCUACACCCCCUCCCGUCACUCAGCUGCAUUGCAUUGCAUUGCAUUGCACACAGCUGAGCUCCCCUGGGCUGGCCCUGCCCUCCCACCAGGUGCUCCAUCACUGCUUCAGGCUGUGAUCAGCAUUUCUGCUACAGAGGGUGACCUAUUCUGACAGAAACUGCAGAUAUACACAGAAAUGCUUUAAGAAUGUUUUAAGAGAAGCCGAUUUGAAAGUAUUCUGCAGAGCAAAUCCUCCAUCCUCGUGCCUGCAUUGCAGGCCACACACAAAUACAGAGCGAGGACCGACCUAAAGUUAUUUCUGUGGACUGGGCAGGAUGCUCACACCAUCACUGGAAAUGCUCUGAAUUGGUGUAACCGGCGUGGCUCAGGGUGCAGUUCACGGCUGUUAGAGCUGCCUCUGCAGAGUGCUUCUCACGUCCCAGCAAUCGCAGUCUGGACAGAGAUCUGUUCAUCACGUUCACUCUCAGCCUCCGGAUCUCCAACAAAGUGGUAUUUACUCCAAGGCAGGGCAGACUGCGGAGGCCAUGGAAGUUCUCAUCAGCCUAAAAUGCAGAAACAUCUGUUGGGGUCACAAGAUUCUCAUUUGCUGUUGAUGAGUGAAGGAUCGGCUCCAUUUGCAGCUGGCACAAACAAAGGGCUGUAGGGCUGAGGAGACAAACAGGCCUUAAUUUCCUCCUGAACUGCAUCUCCACUGCAGCACAAUGGCAAAAAGGGGUGAUUCCUUGUGCUGACCCUCGCUGACCUUAUCACUGCACAGGAAUUACAACAAAAAAUGCUGUAACAGAGCCCUCCUGAGCUGGAGGCUAAAGCAACCAGGACAGAACUCUCCAAGAAAUACCACAGCUGGUACACAGCUUUACACAAGUGUUCCAUUUAAGCAAGAAGGCCAUUACACCAAUGCCUGUGGUUCCUCUGAAGCAAUAGUGCACAUCCUCGUGCUCCUCACUGCUCUGUGCAGGCAGUCUGCCCUCAGCUCUGAGUUCCUCUUCACUUUGGGAUUCUUGUGUGGGUAAUGACUGCCACCUGCAGCAGCAAGGAAGUACUUCCCUUCGAUUUAGAGCUUUUUAAUUGCCAUCACAGCCAGAGCCUUUCCUCCCCCACCCUCCACCUUCCUUAAGGGUGAACACAGCAGCAUUCCAUCUCACUGAACACCAAUGCAGAUAUAUAUUACAUUUCCAUAGCUUAGGAAGUGAUGAGAGGGAGUAAAUCCGGAAAGCAGCUGAAACUCUGCAUAAGGCUUCUUUCAGCCAAAGGACAAACAGCUGAGUGAGGAGGUGCACCUGACACUACUAUCAGAGCAUGCACAUGAUAUUCUUCAGACAGAAACCACUGUCCCUGAAAUCUAACACUUAAAAGUGGUAGGAAGUCACUUAACUGAAGAUGAAAGGUUUAAUUUAAAAGUAUGUCCCAGAACUACUUUUUUUUUUUAAGCAAUGAAGUCUACCAUCAAUAAAUCCUUGGGCAGACAUUCUGCCUUGUGUUGGUGCAGAGACUCAGUAUUUAGGUUAGAAGUUUCCUUCUAUGUUCACAAUCUUCUGGCACCUGCACUUUGGGUGCCAAGAGGACGUGACUUGUCCCUGGGACUUAGUGCCUAGAAAUCCACCCCUGUACACACUGGGUAAUAUUAGCCCUAUGUAAGCCAGAUAAAAACAAGAGCUUCUUUAGGAGAUCAGUGAAGAUUUUCAAACACGAUGGCUCCUGAUAGAGCAGGGAAAAAAGUCCUUAUUGUAAAAUAAAGAUCUAAAGUACUUCAGGAGAAAGCAUCAAUACAAAAGCGUUUAUGUUUUAGUAAUUUAUUUACAAGACAAUUAGGCAACAAUUUACCAAAGCUCUACUUGUUACAAGCUACCUGUCUCCUUCUGCUCAUCAGCCUCAUUCUGUGCUACUCACAUUGCUUUUCCUCUUGAAAAAUCCAGAUAUAAGAGGCAAUAAAGAGUUCUUCCAGAAGCUGUUCACCAACUGAUUAAUGAACACACUGUGCAUCCUCCUGGUCCUCCUAACUAGAUAAAAUAACCAUAUAGUACAACAAACACAGUUCCACAUCUUUCUCUUGACACCUGGCCCUGUAAGGAACACUACUUUGGGAAGAGUUGCAAACCAGUGCACUUGGAGCCAGGUGCAAGAAAGUAAAACGAGUUUAAGGAUACAUCAUUCAUGUUUGCUAAGAAUAACAUUUGAUUUAAUUUUCAAUAUUGUCAAGGCAAUUUUGUGAUGAUAAAAAUGACUGUUUAAAAAAAAUGCCUCCUUAUGGGUAAGCAGAAGAAAACUCCAUUUUUGUAUCAGUCAUACAUGCUGCUGGUUUCACAUUCUGGUAUAACUGAAAAGCUGGAUGUGUUGUAUGUUCAUAAGUAAAGCAAAGAUACAGAACAAAUCAAAGACAAUAAACAAAAAAAAGUUUACUGACAUUGAUUUAGUACCCAGCCAUCAGUAACAAGCAAAAAUAAAACACACAGAAAUCACAGACACUCAGUUGAAGUACCAGUGUUUCACAACUUCUACUCCAUGAUUGUCUUCACAUAUUCUUUGAUUAUGCAGUGAAACUUCUUUACUAGCUUCAUAUGACAGGUUCUGCACUUGUGUGAAGCUCCUGGAACAAAUUAAGCAGGCAAAAUCAGUUACUGUGGAGGAUAACGUUGAUUAAACCACAAGGGGUAUGCACAUGGAGAUUCAUAGUUUCCCUACCAUAUAGCCAGCGUCAGAAAGCAGCACACUGAAGUAGUCCAUUAACAUUACACAGACAAAACAACUCUUUCCUUCAUAGGGACAGAAAUAAAGAUGCCUGCAACUUUGCAGGACUGUUCCCUCAAUUAAUCCUCCAAUACCCAUUCUGGAUUCAAAGGGUGAGAUCUAUAUGUUUUUCUCUGAAUAUACAGGGAGUUUUCACAUUGUUGUAAAUACCUUUGAAGUUCUUUCUCCAGUUUUUUGAACACGUCUUCAGUAUCUUGCAGUUCACUGAAUGCUUUUGCACUUUCUUCUGAGGAGUCUGGCAUAACUUCUGCCAGAAGUUCCUGGGUGACAGUCAACUGCUCUUGCAGUUUGUCUACAAUAUAAGAGAUAUUAAAAACAUUUUUACAGAUGCAUACAGUGGCAUUAAUAAUACAAGAUUAUGUAAUAGCUACAGUAAGGAGGACUGAGUGAACUACAUAAACUGUUGCUCGUUAAGCCAUUAGAAAAAAAUCAGAAAAGCCCAAUUACUUUUAGUUACAGAGACUAACAGUAACAACUCUAUUUCUGCUAUUUUAACUUGCUAACCAGGCUCAUUCAGAGCACCUCACAGAAUUUUACCACAGAUGCAAGAGAAAAAAGUCAAGCUUUAAACCUCCAAAGUUCCAUAAUUAACUGCACAUUGGAAAGUAUCACCAACUUGAAAUUUAUCCUGUCCUGUCCUUUAGCAUUCACAAAGCAAAAAUACACAUCUUAUAUUUUUCAGAAUUUCUUACAGGAAUUUUAUGUUUUUCAAUAAAAUAUUUCCAUUUGUUUUGAAAUGUAAGCAAGUUUCUACAGGAAGCACAAGCGAGUCUGUCCAUGGGGCCAUGCCCUUCAAACAGAAACUAAAAGACAUCACAGUAUUUCUACAACUCUUCAACUUGCUUACACAUUAGGAAGAGCAAGGAAGGAAGAAUGGAAUGAAUACAGUUUACAAAUCUCUUCUUUAUAUUUUAUUUUUUAAGACUGUCCUAAUCUAGAAAGUUCAUUUUCACCCUAUCAUAUGAUUAAAAAAACCUGUUUGACCGCAGUUUAAUGGUGAAAUGGAGACGGUAGUUAUUCAUAUCAAAAUACAUGACUAAUGUUGCAGCCCAGUGUCCAAACUCUAUGAACAGCACACAGAACUGCUCCAGUGACCACAAGCAGGUCUAGCAAAAACAAGACAAGUCUGGCACGUAAAAACAUUUAUUUCUGAAAGUAUAUUUUAAAUGUAAUUUUCAUACCUAGGUAUGUUGGCAUAUCUCCAUCGAUGUGAAUGUUCUUAAUGGGUAAUUUAUGUCUAGUGGCAUCCAGAGCAACUGCAAAGCUUUUAUACUGCUCUUUAAACCGUCCAAGAAGAGGAACAAGAGGAGAAAGUAGUUCCAUCUGAAAAGGGUAUGAUGAAUCAACACUUCUUCACAAAGCAGCCAUUUUGUACAUACAGCAAGAAUGGCUUUUCUCCACAUAAAUGGGAUUUAAGACUGGACUGAUACAGAAAAACAAUUUACGGUGUAUAUAUAUAUACAUACAUACACACACACACACAUCAACAACUGCCACUCUGAAUUGUUCAUUGACAGAAGAAUUCAAGGAGUUUGUGGUGUGAUAUUCCUGUUUUGCCUUGGCCAAUAAGGGUUGCCUUGAUGCUGCAGAAAGAAAUACUAGCAAGCAAAUUGCUCUACAUUGCAUCUUUUUCACUGUAGUUCUUUAUUCUUCAAAAGCCUUAUUUAAUUUCCACAAAGCUUAUUUGUUAAAAGCAAGCAUAUGUUCAGUUCUGCAAAUCAGUUGUUCAAAAGAUCCUACCCUUUUAAUCUGAUGCAACAAAACUACGAAAAUGCUGAGAAAGUGUGGAGGCUUCAGCUUCUAAAGAUGAUUUGCUAUCAAGAAAAUCAUUAAAAAUUCGUCUUCUUACAACUAGAUCAGAACUACUGCUGUCUAACAUAAAGUAUAAGUGACAGGAGAUGUUCACUACUCAUUUAAGGGUUAGCAUGUCUGCUCCAGUCAUAACAUCCUGCAGUUACACACUUACAAUGUGGUUUUAAGUUGUUUACAGUCAAUGCACAGGAGAUGUAAACUGCACUAGCAACUCGUGCAUUACUGCUGCCCCUUGCCUAACAGCAAUAACUUCUCCUUCCUGCCUCCAUAAGAGAUAGUAAAAAAAAAAAAAGUGACAAAGGCAUUUGUUUAGAUUACUGGAAAGCACAACAUGCUACAGCAGGAAGUAGAUGUUUACAGAUGCAUAAAACUGUGCCUCAGGAGGCCACAAAAGCAUAGACAUCAUCUUUUGAGAAACAACUACUAGAUUAUUACGUUCACUCUAGUAGCUAUUAAUAUAUUAUUAGCAAUGUAACAGAUGUGUUGUUUAAACACAGAAGAAUGAACUGUAAUAAAGCCUACCUGUUUUACAAGCUCCUCAUCAAGUUUUUCCUCUCUCUCUUUGAGCAGAAUUUCACGCUUCAACUCAUAGAGCUUCUCCUGUUGUCUCUCCUUUUCUUCACACAACAUUAACAAGUUUUCUUCUGCUUUUUCCUCAAGCUGAGCAACAUCCUUUCUCUGCUGUUACAUCCAAAAGACAUCCAUAACUAAAGUAACUUACUCCUGUUUCCCUGGAACUUCAGUACAUCCCUGCUUCAAGAAGAACCAGCACCAGCUUAAUAAACUGGCACAGAAUUCACUCUAAGAGAGUUUUCAAGGCAUACCCAUCAUGCAGUUUUGGAGCACGUCAUUUACAACACAAAAUCAUAACAAUCUGACUUUCAUGGAUUAGAAUGCAUACAACUUGAUAUCAAACUUCUUUUUAACCUGGAAUGCCACACACUUGACUGACUCUCACCUUUACUCCUAGGUAAGUUAAGAUCAGCUCCUGAGAUCCCAGCUCUGCCCCCACAACAACAGGAUUGUUUUUCUUGGGGAAAAAAGAAGAAAAAGAAAGAAUAUUCUAGAUCAGUUGUGGCAUUUAAGCAGUUACAUUUUCAGGAUGUAAAUUAAUUAUUGAAAGUCCAGUUUGUGGUCAGAAUCAGCAUUAUCAUCAGCAACAGUCACCUAGAUGAAUAUUAACUAAAUGUAUAUUCUUUGUUCACCCAAUCUUUAUACUGUUCUCAGCAGAUACUCAAAACACUAGAAUAGAACUUGUAGACUGCUGAAGGAGAUUAGGCUGAGUUAAUUUUCUGACAAAAAAUGGUUGGAAAAUACUUAAAGUGAUAUAAUUAAAAUGGUGCAUAAAAAGAAUUAGCCUGAAGAGAUUCUACAAAUGGAGCCGAUUUUUUUACUACAGCAAGCUAAGGUAAAAUGUUGAGACUUACACCCAAUGAACAAAACAAACGUUGCAAGCAGUACAAUGGAGCUCUCAUUUGGCUACUGCCCCAAGGCUUUAGAGCGUCUCAGAAACCUUAAUGGUUGUUACCAACAUUAGAGAAAUAGGAAAUUAUCAUUUCGUGUAUUCUAAAAUAAAGAUGCUUAACAAAUGGAA